The sequence is a regulatory RNA element, 116 nucleotides long. It matches the Rfam family "PyrR binding site". From Rfam's summary of the family: This family represents the PyrR binding site and terminator structure. This RNA structure is found upstream of a variety of genes involved in pyrimidine biosynthesis and transport. The alignment also includes a portion of the antiterminator structure. The record is from Rfam.
UGACCCUUUAAAACAGUCCAGAGAGACUGGCAAGGAAAACGGAUUGCCUGACUAUGCAAUGCAAAGCAUAACCAGCCUUAAAUCCCCAUGCCCUCUCAGGCAUGGGGAUUUUUAUU